CACGUAGGGUGCGAGCGUUGUCCGGAAUUAUUGGGCGUAAAGGGCUCGUAGGCGGUUUGUCGCGUCGGGAGUGAAAACUCAGGGCUCAACCCUGUUCGUGCUUCCGAUACGGGCAAACUAGAGGUAGGCAGGGGAGAACGGAAUUCCUGGUGUAGCGGUGGAAUGCGCAGAUAUCAGGAGGAACACCGGUGGCGAAGGCGGUUCUCUGGGCCUGUACUGACGCUGAGGAACGAAAGCGUGGGGAGCGAACAGG
Molecule: ribosomal RNA, 253 nt
Filed under: uncultured bacterium
Lineage: Bacteria
Description: partial 16S ribosomal RNA
Rfam family: Bacterial small subunit ribosomal RNA
Source: RNAcentral